GAACAAAAAAAUUACGGCGUAUCUCUCUCCUAAAAUCUCCAAGUUUCGCUCAAAUUUCUCCCAAUUUCUCAACGAAAUCUAAAAAUUGUUGAUAUUGUUGCAUAAGAACAGUAAUAUUUGAAGGAUUUACCAACAAAUACACCAACCAAAUUCGUGAAGCGAAACCCUAGAAAUCUGAAUUUUCAAUUUUCGAAUGGAUCAAAGUGACGACUUGAAGUUGCGAAUCUAUAGAAAUUACUUAAAAACAAAGAAGUUGCAAAAUCUACGAGCAUGCAUCGAAGUAUGAAGAUUCUUUAAAAAAGCUACAGAUAAGUAAACAAAAAUCUACGGAAGUCGUAAGUGGAGGUUCGUAGCAUACAUUCAAGGUAUUCAUCAAUCUACUUCUGAUUUAGAAAUUCCAGAAAUUCGUUAGUAAUCAGGUAGAUUGAAUGUUCUAA
Molecule: long non-coding RNA, 437 nt
Organism: Spinacia oleracea (spinach)
Lineage: Eukaryota; Viridiplantae; Streptophyta; Magnoliopsida; Caryophyllales; Amaranthaceae
Exons: 3
Source: RefSeq, a predicted model, not a curated record